Pelobates cultripes (western spadefoot toad) is the source of this 252-nucleotide non-coding RNA. NCBI's taxonomy places the organism in Eukaryota, Metazoa, Chordata, Amphibia, Anura, Pelobatidae. The record is from the annotation of a GenBank genome assembly.
GUCAGUCUGUAUAGGUGCUUGAGUUCCAAGUGAGAUACAUCUCAUCUUGUGAUCUCCCCUGUACCCGAGCUUGUCUAUAGUGAGCUUGUGUGUGUCAAUGAGCUUGUCUGUAGUGAGCUUGUGUGUGUCAAUGAGCUUGUCUGUAGUGAGCAUGUGUGUGUCAGUGAGCUUGUCUGUAGUGAGCUUGUGUGUGUGUCAGUGAACUUAUUCGUAGUAAGCGUGUGUAUCAGCGAGUUUGUCUGUGGUGAGAAG